Molecule: long non-coding RNA, 14156 nt
Filed under: Citrus x clementina
Lineage: Eukaryota; Viridiplantae; Streptophyta; Magnoliopsida; Sapindales; Rutaceae
Description: Citrus clementina (C. clementina) long non-coding RNA (CCLE_LNC004307)
Source: RNAcentral
UUUGUUUUCUUAGAUGCUUUUGAGAAGGUAACAACAGCAAUUUCAAAAAUGCUGGGGUAAGAUGCAUCACGCAGUGCUACUCAACAUGAGAAUUCCGGCCGCAUUACCUGUAUGUUGAGUGAUCGCACAGUACAACCUUUAGAAGCUUGUAAGGAGUAGACAACUAGAUGCGAGUAGUUUCAAUAUGGAUUCGCAUCAAAUGAUCUCUUGCAAGUGAUUACUAUAACCUCUAUCCCAAAAUUCUUGGAACUGGUCAUACCAAUAAUGAAGUAUUGUGUAUGUUGAAGACAUAGCUCAAGGCCUUGCGAAAGCUUCGUCAGCCUUUGUAUUGGAAAACAGUUGGUUGUAGUUGCUUCUGAAUGAUAUUGUUAAUAGAUACUGUAAAAAUGAACUGUGCCACUCAUUUUCAGAGCCCUGUUAAGAUGUGUUGGUAAUGUGUUUGAAGGUUGUUUGAUUUAUGUUGUAUUCAGCUAUAAAUCAAAGAUUCAGAACAUGGUUAUGUUACUGGUUUCCAAAUCAAAAAAUUGCCUUGUGAUGUUAGUGUUCAUUGUUUUCACAGGAGAUCAGGUUCCCUGUUGAUGAAUCAAGAAGGCAAACGCAUCCAUGUCUUAAGUUCAAAUGUGUCUCUUCUAUUUUCUAUUACUGACUCCUUUAUUUUGAUUUCUUCAUUGUAAUGGAAUUGGUUUUUUAUUCCAAAUUAGUCAAAACCUCCUAGAGUCAUUAAGUUCUGUUAGCAUUUGAAGAUAGAACUAGAACUAAAUGAUUGACUGGAUUAAAUUCCGAUAAAGAAUUAAGUUAUAUAUUUAGAGAUAUUAUGUUUUUUUUUUUCAUUUGUUCAAUUUGGUUAGUGGUGAUUUCUUAAAGACUCAAUCCAUGUGCGUUUAUGCAUUUUUAUUUUGCCUUAAUUUCUGUUUCUUGGGGAGUUUAUACAGAUUCUUAUUUUAUGCUUCACAUGCCACAUGAAAGAUCGAAGCCUUUUGUGUGAUUAGAACUGACUUGCAUCACAGAAGUAGAUUGAUAGAGUAGAUAAUAGUAGAUUUCGCUUUAGUAUCGGAAAUUCCAUAAUUAUGCUUUUCUCUGCACUAUUUUCAAUAAAAUUAUAAAAAUCAAAACAAAAUUAUUACACAGUAAAGACUUUAGAGACAAGUACCCCCAAUAGGAUCAAGCAAAUAUGCUCUGCACAAAAUUAUUUCUUGUUCUUUUUCUUUUUGACAAUUUUAUUUGUGGUUUCAACUUUUAUGCUUUAUUGUCAUAUCUCGUUGAGGGCUCCGCUGCACCCAUUACAACUUACCCCCAUAUUGUCUUUUACUGACUAAACCGUUAGAUUUGAUGCUGAAUUUUAAUUAUACCAUCAAAUUUCGUUUAGCUCCUUAAACUCCAUUUUAUUUGUAAUUUCUUCAUAAAAUAUUCAAAGCUUCAUCAAGCUCCUAAUGGACCAUCAUGGCUAGGGGUGCGUUAGAGCCGAACUGAAAUAUGUUAGUUCAGUUCAGUUUGGUCAGUUUAAAUUGAAUGGUUUAGGAAAUAUAAACUGAUCAAUUUUAAUUUUGAAUUGAACUGAACCGAAAAUCAAUUGGUUCAGUAUUAGUAUUUUUGCAUAAAUAUAAAUUAUUAGCGAUUAUAAUUAAAUUGGACUAAAAAAAAUUCAAACUAAGGUGAAAAACAUCAAAUCUUAGAUAAUAUAAAAGAAAAAAUAUUAAAUUUUAUAAACCAAAAUGAACCGAAUUAUUUUUACUCAGUUUGGUUCAUAUUUGGUUCGUAAUUUUUUAAACCAAAUUGAUUUAUAUCCACACCCUAAUCAUGGCCCUCUAUCUUCAGUCAUUCACCCUUGAGUUUGAUGCCAAUUGUUGGGUUUCAAAUUAUUAUACACUCAAAUGAAACCCCUCAUAACCAAAAACUAACAGAAACAAUAAGAACACGAUGUUAAUAUCUUAAAUCAAUCACAAAAAAGCACUCAAAAUUAAUUGAUUAGGAGCAAUUAACAACAAAAGAUUUGAUGGUUCAAAAUCAUAAUGUGACCUAGUUCCAUCCAAGAAUCAUACUAAUUGCUUUACUAGUUGUCAAAUUGUUGUGCAAAUUUUAUUAAACUCGCAAGUGCACGAAUCUAUUGUAGAAUAGAUCAAUGGUGACGAGUGUCGAUCCCAUAAGGAGGUUGAUUUUUAAUUAUGUGUAGAAUUAAUGUUCUAUGAGGAUGGUUGGAUUUGUGGUGGAAGUGAUUUAGAUUAUACUAGAAUUUAAAUUGGAAUGGUAGAAUUAAAUUAAAGUGGAAACUAUUAUAAUUGAAGCGCUUGGGUAUUUGGAUCCGUAUCAACAUGCACCAUUGGCUAAAUAUUCCUUAUUAGUAUCAAUUAAAUCAUGAGGGGGGAAUCCACACCUCAUGAACUACACUCUAAUCAAUAUGGUGCUAAGGGCUUAUCGUGCCAAAUAAUAAUAACCUUAUACUAGGGAGUCGGUGAAACUAUGGUAAUAUCUAGACAAGAUUAUUACUAUUUGUCGACGAAAAGUCAAAACAUCCACAAAAAUUAGAGGGGAUGAGAAAGUAAAUUUACCAAUUAAAGCCCAUGGCACAUGUUGAGACUUCACUUUCUACCCAAGCUUGAAAGAAAAUUAGCUACUCAUAAUUAAACUAUGGAUAAAAUGAAAAUUUAUUAAAAUACAUAGAAAAUACAAGAUAGAAAAGAAAUUAUAGAAAAUGGAGCUCAAAAAUGAAUUCAGAGAUGCCAAAUUAGGGGGGAGAGACUCCCUUUUUAUAGAUAUUUGAUUAAAUCAUGGCCAUCGAAUUAAAACCAGUUUGGACACUCAGGAUUGUGCCACGUCAUCAAUCAACAGUACGCGGUUUGAACAGUGACACGGUUUGACCACGCGGUUUGAACAGUCAACCGGCUUGAAUAGUGACGCGGUUUGGUUGAAAAUAAUCCUAUUUAUAUGCAUGUACCGUACGCGCGAUUUUUGGUCUACUAACAUGCUGCAACGUCACCGAUCAACAAUGCGUAAGAAUUUUAUCCAAUAGAAUCGUGACACCUCAUUAGUCAAUGUCACAUUAACGUUCAAUGCCAUGUCAUCGUUCCGUAGGUGUGAAUAAUGUCGUGAACAGUAACAUAGACAGUAUCGUACGUGUAAAUAGUGUUGUGUAUGUGAACAGUGAUAUUUUUCCUUUUAUGCUCCUCCUACAGUUUUCGACUGUUCUAAGUUCAAAAGUGAUGUCCGUUUUGCCGUCUGAUCUCUCGUUUAUUGUGAAAAGACCAUGAUGCCUUUAAAAUAUAUAAAAUACUUAAUUAAAAUAAAACACACAUAAUUAAAUCACAAGAAGCUUAAAUACAUAAAAGUAGAAGUGUUAGUAAGACUUGAAAUGUAAAAUGACGAUUUUCUCCUUUAUAAAUAUACAUUUUCUAACACUCAACACAAAUACAAGAUCACAAGAUUGUUUAUCACUCGACAGAGAAAUUGUUUUUAGAAGAAAUACUCCUCAAUUUUUCUGUUAAUAGUUAUGAAUCAACACCCGCAUAAAGGCUAUUGAUUUACUUUUCCUUAUUUCCAACAUAGUCCAAACACUUUUCAUGUUACAGGCGUAGUGCACCUUCAGAAACUUUACAGCUCCUCUUAAAACCUCAAGCCUAUAGAGUGUAAUUUCGCACUAUAUGCUCAGUCUUCUCAUGAUGUUUCUGAUUUAUUUCUCGGACGAGUAACACUUUUAGCUGUCAUAAUACAAUGUAAUUGACUUUUAGCUGUCAUAAUUUUGAGAUCAUUACUUUUAAUUAAAUGAUCUCCUCUACAGCUUCUACCUAUGUAGUGUUUUAGACCUCUAUAGUUGAUCAAGCAUGUUCAAGGUGAAGGCUUGUUUUCCAAUCUAUAGUCCAAUUAUAGACUGGAAAUGGUUAGGCUUAAUGCACCUUCAAAAGCUUCACAACUUAUAUAGAAACCUUAAGCCUUAUAGAAUGCUACAAAUUUUAAAUCCACAUACUUAGUGCUCUUAUGAUUUGUUUGAUUUUUGCUUAGAUGAAGAGCACUUUAGCUAUAGACUACAUUGUAACUAAUUCAAAGCAUGCCUUAGCUACGAGAUCAUUCAUUCUAGCCAAAUGCCCCCUUUAGAGAUUCUGCUAUUGUUGUGUAUUCAGCCUCUAUAUUUGGCAAAGCAAUUACAUGUCGAAGGCUUGCUUGCUUUCCAGUUAACAGCGCAAUUACAUAGAUUACAGGUGUAACCAGGCAAAGAACUUAGUUAUUCUGCCAAGGUCUCCAACAUACUCCAAAUCCAUAUAACCGCCAGACUUCAAUCUUUAGACUCCAUAGAUCAAACCAUAACUUAGUGUGCCUUUCAAUCUCAGGUAACAUUUUACUGUUUUCCACGUCUUGCCAUGUACUUGCUGCUAACACUAACAAUUUGAGAAAUGUUAGGCAUCGUAAGCAGCCGACAACACUCUUCUUCAUUUCUUCAUUGUCAAUUUCCUUCUUGGAACAUUGCUCCAUUGAGAGUCUACUAUCAUUGCUCCAAUUAUUAUUAUUUUUGUUUUUUUAAAAAAAAAAAUUAACCCUACAAUAAGAGUAUAAGACUAAGCAACGGUCCUUUUUUUUCCCAUUCUUGAGCAUGAAGUAUUUGAGUAUGCAAUAAAAAUUGUUUAUUGAUAAUUAAAAGUUAGUAGUGGGUGGCUUUAGGUUUUGUUUACAAAAUUGACAACAAAUUGAGAUUUUUCAAAUUCAUAGGUAAGAAACUUUUCAUUUAUUCAUAGAUUUUCCGGUUUAAACUUUAAAGAAAACUUAAAAGAAAAAGAUGUAUCAUUAGACUUGUAAUUAAAAAAAUUUAAUAUUGUAUGAUCUGUUCGAUAUGCAUAAUUUAAAUAAACAUUAAUAUAGAUGUUAUAUAUCCUAAAACUUAAUUGACUUAAUUCUUACGGUGCAAGGAAGAGGUUUCCAAGUUUAAAUCUAAAGUCUUGUAUUUAAUUUGGGGUCGGGAAAGCACCGGGAAAUAAAUGUAACAAAGGAAAAAAAAAAAAAAAAGAAUGACAGUCUGAGUGGAGCCAACACGGUUUUGAAAAAAGUGCAAAAAAGGGUUUAAAAAAAAAAAACGCGGUUUGUAAAGGAAAUAAAAGCUUUUCAUUGAAUUAAGACCACUACACUCAAAUACUCUAUUAUCACCAACGAGGUCGUGGUCUAGUGGUGCCAGGGGCUAGGCUUGGUAGGGCGAACUACGGUUCGAUCCCCCGCACGCACGUUGGGAGGAGUUUAAAACCUUAACCCCGGGACGCGCUCCGAAACCGGAUUAGUCGGCCCGAUGGGUUCGGAUACCGGUUGGUUAGCACCAAAAAAAAAAAAAAAAAAUACUCUAUUAUCGUUUGUUUGCUUGCUUGUGGAAAUAAAAGUCUCAUGUUUCUUUGAAAGGUAAGCAAGUGUGAGUGUUUCUAUCUAGAGCUGGAAAAUGCAUUUCCGUGCAACUUACUUGAUGAAUGAAGUUUUCAUCUCUGACCUUGAUGUUUCCCUGAGCUGCAUUCGUUGCAGCUGAUGUAUUUCAUUUUGUUUUCGAAGGAGUGACACAAAAUCUCCUUUGUUAAGGUGAGAAUUUAGAGUGGCUUUAACUGUUAACAAAUAGCCUAAUGUAAGACUUAAUCAACUUCCUGCCCUGUUGUAUGCUUAUGAAUUUUGAUAGAGUUAUGAGUUUGCAGAAGCUACUGUAUUAUAUGUUGAUAGAGGCUGUAAAAAUGAGGCAGAUCAAACACACGUUUAAAUUUCAGUGACAAUUUACUGGAAGUAAAUUUCCUAUGACCCUACAUGUGACUAAUUGAUGAGAAGUUGACAAAUGACAAAAGAAAUUGUACGAGCUUUGCAGGCUGGCAUGCCGAUAUUGACUGCAUGGCACCAUCCGCCAUUUGGAAGUGAAUAUCAUUAUUCUUUAAUCAACAUGGUGGAGUCCACUGGGACCACACCACAUGGUCAGUCAUAUCUCUAUUCCUCAAUUUUCAGUAUUCCAUACAUCAAAACAAUUUCAGUUUUGUUAUCAAUUAUAAUUUCAUUGUUGGUGACGAUUCUGAUUCCUUUCUUUCUGACAAAACGGAACCAUGUUUGCUGUGGGAGAGAUCUUACUCAACGCCUUCUUUCAGGUGUUGUUCGACAGGUUGGCUUCCCGCGAUUUGCUCAGCUUUGUCCGUCAACUUGGAGGCGGGGUCGAUUCCGAGCUCAAGAAGUGGGAAAGAAAGCUGAAGAUGAUUCAGGCGGUGCUCAACGAUGCAGAGGAGAAGCAACUGACUGACGAGGCUGUGAAGACGUGGCUGGACGAUCUCCAAGACUUGGCUUAUGACGCUGAGGACAUUCUUGAUGAGUUUGCUACUCAAGCUUUGGAAAGCAAGUUGAUGGCGCAAAAUCAGGAUAGCUCUGGCCAGCUUCUCAGUUUCAUCCCGGUUAGUUUGAAUCCGAAUGCUGUUAGGUUCAAUUAUGGCAUGAGGUCCAAGAUUAACGAUAUUACCAGCCGGUUGGAGCAACACUGCAAAGAUAGAAUUGAACUUGGGCUGCAACGGAUUCCUGAAGGGGCAUCAUCAACUGCUGCUGCUGCACACCAGAGGCCACCCAGUUCAAGCGUCCCACCAGAACGUGAAGUUUUUGGUAGAGAAGAAGAUAAGGCCAAAAUUCUUGAUAUGGUAUUGGCCGAUAGCCCAAGUGAUCUUGCCAACUUUGUUGUAAUACCCAUUGUUGGCAUGGGCGGGAUAGGAAAAACAACUCUCGCUCGGGAGGUUUACAAUGACAAGGCCGUUGGAGAUUCCAAGUUUGAUGUAAAAGCAUGGGUUUGUGUAUCUGAUGUCUUUGACGUUUUGGGCAUCUCAAAGGCGCUUCUCGAGUCAAUCACCCGCAGGCCAUGUCUUCUAAACAGUUUAAACGAAGUGCAGGUUGAAUUGAAAGUAGCUGUGGAUAAAAAAAGAUUCUUGCUGGUCUUAGAUGAUGUUUGGAACGAGGACUACAGCUUGUGGGUAGACUUAAAAGCUCCGUUCCUGGGUGCUGCACCAAACAGCAAGAUGAUCGUCACCACACGCAAUUCAAGUGUUGCAUCAACAAUGAGACCCAUUGAUCGUCACCGCAAGCAAUUCAAGUAUUACGAUCUCAAGAGUCUGUUAGAUGAUGAUUGCUGGUCCAUUUUCAUAAACAAUGCAUUUGAAUCUACAGACCUUAGCGCACAUCGAAUUUCAGAAUCGUUCCGCGAGAAAGUUGUUGGCAAGUGUGGGGGCUUGCCUCUGGCAGCAAAAACACUCGGGGGCCUUCUUCGUACUAAAACGCAUGCUGAGUGGGACGGUAUAUUGGAUAGCAAAAUAUGGGAUUUACCUCGGCAAAGCAGCAUUCUUCCCGUGUUAAGAUUGAGUUACCAUCAUCUUCCUUCUCAUUUGAAAAGAUGUUUUGCUUUUUGUGCCAUCUUUCCAAAAGAUUAUGCAUUCACUGAGAGGGAGCUGACUUUCUUAUGGAUGGCUGGAGGUAUUAUUCGACAGUCAAGAAACAAUGAGCAGCUCGAAGAUUUGGGCAGCAAGUGCUUUGGUGAUCUAGUGUCGAGGUCAAUUUUUCAACAAACAGCAAUCUCUGAUAGUUCUAAAUUUGUAAUGCACGACCUUAUCCAUGAUCUUGCUGAAUUGGUCUCUGGAGAAACCAUAUUUAGGUUAGAGGAGGCCAAUACUCUGUCAAGAAGUUUUGAAAGGGUUCGCCAUUCUUCCUAUGCUUGUGGUGAAUAUGAUGGUAAAAAUAUGUUCGAGGUUUUCAAUGAAAUUGAACAUCUACGAACAUUCUUGCCAUUACGCUUACGCAUACGAGGUACUUUUUACAUAACUAGAACGGUUCUAUCCGAUUUGCUGCCAAAGUUCAAAAAAUUGAGGAUGCUAUCUUUAGAAGGAUACUGUAUUGGUGAGUUACCGAUUCCAUUUGAAGAUUUGAGACUUUUAAGGUUUCUCAACCUUGCUGACACUGACAUAAGAAGUUUACCCGAGUCAACAUGCAAAUUGCUGAACUUGGAAAUUUUGAUAUUAAGAAAUUGUUCCCUUUUGAUAAAGCUUCCACCCAAAAUGAGGAAUUUGAUCAAUUUACGCCAUUUGGAUUUAAGAGGUGCGAAGUUGCUGAAGGAGAUGCCAGUCGGAAUGAAAGAGCUGAAGAAGCUUCAAACAUUGUAUAAUUUCAUUGUGGGCAAGGGUGAAACUGCAUCCGGUUUGGAAGAUUUAAAAAGUUUAAACUUUCUUUGUGAUGAACUUUGCAUUGUUGGAUUAGAGAAUGUGAAUAAUCCACAGAAUGCAAGAGAAGCCGCAUUAUGCGAGAAGCGCAAUCUUGAAGCAUUGACCCUAGAUUGGGGGUCUCAAUUUGACAAUUCUCGAGAUGGAGUAGUAGAAGAGGAUGUACUGGAAAUUCUACAGCCUCAUAAAUGUAUUAAAAAGGUGGCAAUCAGGAACUAUGGUGGUGCAAGAUUUCCACAUUGGAUAGGAGAUCCUUUGUUCUCCAAAAUAGAGUUCCUUGAAUUGGAGAACUGUGACAAUUGUGCAUCUUUGCCAUCGCUUGGCCGUUUGAGGUCCAAGAUUAACGAUAUUACUAGCCGGUUGGAGCAACUCUGCCAAGAAAGAAUUGAACUUGGACUGCAACGGAUUACCGGAGAGGCAUCAUCAACUGCUGCUGCUGCACACCUGAGGCCACCCAGUUCGAGUGUCCCAACAGAACGUGAAGUAUUUGGAAGAGAAGAAGAUAAGGCCAAAAUUCUUGAUAUGGUAUUGGCCGAUGCCCCAAGUGAUCAUGCCAACUUUGUUGUAAUACCCAUUGUUGGCAUGGGCGGAAUCGGAAAAACAACUCUCGCUCGGGAGGUUUACAAUGACAAAGCCGUUGGAGGUUCCAAGUUUGAUGUAAAAGCAUGGGUUUGUGUAUCUGAUGUCUUUGACGUUUUGGGCAUCUCAAAGGCGCUUCUCGAGUCAAUCACCCGCAGGCCUUGUCUUCUAAACAGUUUAAACGAAGUGCAGGUUGAAUUGAAAGUAGCUGUGGAUAAAAAAAGAUUCUUGCUGGUCUUAGAUGAUGUUUGGAACGAGGAGUACAGCUUGUGGGUAGACUUAAAAGCUCCGUUCCUGGCUGCUGCACCAAACAGUAAGAUGAUCGUCACCACACGCAAUUCAAAUGUUGCAUCAACAAUGGGGCCAGUUGAACAUUACAAUCUCAGGAGUCUAUCAGAUGAUGAUUGCUGGUCCAUUUUCAUAAAGCAUGCAUUUGAAUCUAGAGAUCUUAACGCACAUCAAAUUUCAGAAUCAUUCCGCAAGAAAGUUGUUGCCAAGUGUGGAGGCUUGGCCCUGGCAGCAAAAACACUCGGAGGCCUUCUGCGUACGACGAGGCAUGAUGCGUGGGAUGAUAUAUUAGAGAGCAAAAUAUGGGAUUUACCUCGACAAAGUGGGGUUCUCCCAGUAUUAAGAUUGAGUUACCAUCAUCUUCCUUCUCAUUUGAAAAGAUGUUUUGCUUUUUGUGCCAUCUUUCCAAAAGAUUAUGAAUUCACUGAGAAGGAGCUGACUUUCUUAUGGAUGGCUGGAGGUAUUAUUCGACAGUCAAGAAACAAUGAGCAGCUGGAAGAUUUGGGCAGCCAGUGCUUUGGUGAUCUAGUGUCGAGGUCAAUUUUUCAACAAACAACAAUCUCUGAUAGUUCUAAAUUUGUAAUGCAUGACCUUAUUCAUGAUCUUGCUGAAUUGGUCUCUGGAGGGACCAUUUUUAGGUUAGAGAAGUCCCCCAACUUGUCGUCAAGCGGAUUUGAAAGAGUUCGCCAUUCUUCCUAUGCCGGCGGUUUGCAUGAUGGUAAAAAUAAGUUUGAGGUUUUCUAUGAAAUUGAACAUCUACGAACAUUCUUGCCAUUACGCUUACGCAUACGAGGUACUUUUUACAUAACUAGAACGGUUCUAUCCGAUUUGCUGCCAAAGUUCAAAAAAUUGAGGAUGCUAUCUUUAGAAGGAUACUGUAUUGGUGAGUUACCGAUUCCAUUUGAAGAUUUGAGACUUUUAAGGUUUCUCAACCUUGCUGACACUGACAUAAGAAGUUUACCCGAGUCAACAUGCAAAUUGCUGAACUUGGAAAUUUUGAUAUUAAGAAAUUGUUCCCGCUUGAUAAAGCUUCCACCCAAAAUGAGGAAUUUGAUCAAUUUACGCCAUCUCGAUAUAAGAGGUGCGGAGUUGCUGAAGGAGAUGCCAUUCGGAAUGAAAGAGCUGAAGAAGCUUCAAAUAUUGUACAAUUUCAUUGUAGGCAAGGGUGAAACUGCAUGCGGUUUGGAAGAAUUAAAAAGUUUAAACUUUCUUUGUGAUGAACUUUGCAUUGCUGGAUUAGAGAAUGUGAAUAAUCCACAGAAUGCAAGAGAAGCCGCAUUAUGCGAGAAGCACAAUCUUGAAGCAUUGACUCUAGAAUGGGGGUCUCAAUCUGACAGUCCUCGGGAUGCAGUACUAGAAGAGAAUGUACUUGACACUCUACAGCCUCAUAAACGUAUAAAAGAGCUGGCAAUCAGGCACUAUGGUGGUGCAAGAUUUUCACUUUGGAUCGGAGAUCCUUCGUUCUCCGAGAUGAAGGUCCUUAAAUUGGAGAACUGUGACAAUUGUGUAUCUCUGCCAUCGCUUGGCCUGUUGAGUUCACUUAAGCACCUUGCUGUUAAAGGGCUGAAGAAACUAAAAAGCAUAGAGUCUGAGGUUUAUGGGGAGGGUUUCUCGAUGCCUUUUCCAUCAUUGGGGAUUCUAAGUUUCGAGAAUUUGCCAGAAUGGGAGCAUUGGGACACCGAGAUCAAAGGAAAUGCGCCUGUUGAUAUAUUUCCUCGUCUCCAAGAACUUUCCAUUGCAGAAUGUCCCAAACUCUCUGGACAACUGCCUGAGCUCCUGCCUUCCUUGGAGACACUUGUUGUUAGUAAAUGUGAAAAGUUAGUAGUUCCAUUGUCAAGUUAUCCGAUGCUCUGCAGAUUAGAAGUUGAUGAGUGCAAGGAGCUAGUGUGCGGGACUCUAAUUGAUUUUAAGUUGAUAAAGUCCAUGACUAUUUCAAAUAGUUCAUUAGACAUGAAUGGACGCAAGGGGAUGCUAUACGAUGGUCUAGCUGGCUCUUCACUUCCAAAGCCCAUGACUACUACAAAUGUUUUGGAGUUUGGAAAAUUAUUGAAGCCUGGAUUUCAGAUAUUAGAAAUUUUGGUAAUUGGCAAUUCUGAACAGCUCAAGUCAUGGAGGCAGCAUGGAGAUUGGAGUACUUCGAUUAAACCAGUACAAGGGCUGAAUAUGCUCGCUCACAAUGAGGAGGUAUCAAUUGAAGAAAGUUGCGUUCGUCUUGUUUUGUUUCCAGAGAUCAAUUUCUUUCCCAGAAAUCUGCGCUCUCUUCUAAUUAACAACAACACUGCUUUCAAAUCCUUACCCGAGGAAAUGAUGGAAAACAAUUCACAACUCGAAAGGUUGUAUAUCAAGGAUUGCGACUCUCUAACAUUCAUCGCAAGACGGAGGCUACCAGCAUCUCUUAAAAGGCUUGAGAUAGAAAAUUGUGAGAAAUUGCAACGUCUGUUCGAUGAUGAAGAGGAUGCUUCUUCUUCUUCUCGUGCAUCCUCGUCUUCCCCAGUGAUGCUGCAACACCUGAUUAUAGAGAACUGCCCAGAGCUCACCAGUUUAUCAUCGGGUGUCCAAUUCCUUGAGGCGCUUGAAUACCUCGAGAUACGGGAUUGUCCAAAGCUGGAGUCAAUACCGGAUGGCCUGCACAAUCUUAAAUGUUUACAGAGCAUUUAUAUACGGAAAUGUCCAAGUCUUGUUUCCUUCCCAGAAAGAGGGCUUCCCAACACGAUUUCAAGGGUUGACAUUUGCAGCUGUGACAAGCUCGAAGCCUUGCCCAAUGAUUUGCACAAACUCAACUCUCUUCGAGGUUUAAGCAUCCAGAUCUGUCCAAAUCUUGUAUCGUUUCCAGAAGAAGGUUUUCCUACCAAUCUAACAUCACUUACAAUUGGAUAUUUCAAAAUGUAUAAGACACUCGUCCAGUGGGGGUUGCACAGGCUUACCUCUCUUAGAGACCUCUGGAUCGUUGAAUGUGAUGAUGAAGCAGAGUGUUUUCCAGACGAGGAGAUAGGAAUGACGCUGCCUGCCUCUCUCACUCAUCUGCAUCUUGAUGGAUUCCAAAAUUUGAUAUCUCUGUCUUCGACGGGUUUUCAGAGCCUAACCUCUCUUCAAUCUUUGUGGAUCUGGGAUUGCCCAAAUCUCACAUCAUUUCCAGAGGUGGGCCUUCCAUCCUCACUUUUGGAAUUACACAUUAGAGAUUGUCCAAAGCUUAAAAAAGCGUGCAAAAGGGAUCAAGGAAAAGAGUUGCCCAAAAUUGCUCACAUCCCUUGCGUUGAGAUAGACGGUAAAUUCAUAUACGAUCCAGAAUCAGAGGAGUAGAUUCUAUUACAAAGGUCAGUUGAUUUGUAUUAUCCGCUAUAACAAGCUCCUCCUAAUUUUUUUUUUCUAAGUAAUAAUUUUGCAGUCACUCACGUGAUUCCGUUUUCACAAGUCAGAUUGUAUGUUGAGGCUAUUUGCCUUUUAAUCGCAGAUUAAAUUAUAACACUUAUCUUAAAAUUUAAUACCAUACACAGAUAGACGAUUUUUUUAUCCAAAGUUUCAAUCAAGAAUUGGAGGAUGUGAAUGGGAUUUUUGUGAAAACAUAAUGGAUGAACGAACAUUUCAUCUGUGAUCUCAAAGUCAACAGAAUUUUAUUUACUCGUUGACUUUUCAACUCCUUGGUUGUUGCUGGGUGAAAGAUAAGGGCAAUUACAAGAUAUUUGCAAACUUUGUCAAUUUCUUAGAUGGUAGAUAUAUCGACAUUUUAGAUUUCAGAUAUUUUGAUGCUUUUUUAAUUUUGAUCUAGUAGAAAUACAUAGCCUUCACCGACAGGAAUUGAAAUUGAAAUUUUUGUCUUCAAUGGGUUUUCAAAGCCUCGCCUCUCUUCGAUUUUUGUGGAUCGGGAAUUGCACAAAUCUCACAUCAUUUCCCGAGGUCGAGGAAAAGAGCGGCCCAAACUUGCUCGCAUCCCUUGGGUUAAUAGAUUCUCUUAUUAAGGUCAGCUGAUUUCUAUUAUCCACUCUGACAAUCUCCUAUUAGUGUUUUUCCUUUUGAAAUUUUUUUUCUAAAAUUUUGCAGUUCCGUAUAAUUGAAAAUGCCACUCACUUGUUUCCUAUUAGUAUGUUGAGGCUAUUUGCUUCCUAUUAGUGUUUGUUAAGGUAAUUAGUGCUCCCUCGUCGGUAUGACUGGAUUUUUUUCACUUCCGUAAAUAUUGCAUUUUAGACUGGCAAAUUUAGCAGUAAUUUUAAUUUGAUACUCUGAUUAAGAAGCCUGAUUAUAGUAGCUGACUUUUUUUGUGUGGUUUGCUGUUGUUUAUUCUUUCGAUUAAUUUCAACAUUAGGUUGAUCUGUUGAAGAACAAACUUGGGUUUGAUUAUGCUUUAACUACAAGGAAGAGCCAGACUUGGAUGCAGGCGUUCGGCUUUUAAUGGGUAAGAACAAAUGUAUGCUUUAACCAUGUUUCUCACUUAUUACAAUGCACGCAUUGAAGGCAUCUGAGCUGAUCCUGAAAAUGUGGUGGAAAUACUUCUCUGUUUACAUAAAAUAGACAAAUAGAGAUCUCUGAUCAUGCCUGAGAAUUCGUUGCAUUUCAAAUUUCUACCAUUGCCAAAAAUAGAAUAAACUAGGGAUACAUUAGCUUAAGACUCAAUUUUGAGAAGGAAGUUUGCACAUGCAGCCUAAAAAAUCAUGUCCGUGUUGUAUACUUGUAUGUUUCUUUGGGAAAUGAAAGAUUCUGUAUGUUCUUUUAUUUCAAGUUUGCUGAAAUCACAUUUGUUUUCGUAGAUGCUUUUGGGAAGGUAACAAGAUCAAUUUCAUAAAUGCUGGGGUAAGAUGCAUCACGCAGUGCUACUCAACAUGAGAAUUCCCGGCCGCAUUAACUGUAUGUUGAGUGAUCGCACAGUACAACCUUUAGAAGCUUGUAAGGAGUAGACAACUAGAUGCGAAUAGUUUCAAUAUGGAUUCACAUCAAAUGAUCUCUUGCCAGUGAUUACUAUAACCUCUAUCCCAAAAUUCUUGGAACUGGUCAUACCAAUAAUGAAGUAUUGUGUAUGUUGAAGACAUAGCUCAAGGCCUUGCGAAAGCUCCGUCAGCCUUUGUAUUGGAAAACAAUUGGUUGUAGUUGCUUCUGAAUGAUAUUAUUAAUAGA